AAUAUGAUUGAUGCAGGUUUUCAAGUUGGACACGAGUGGGAGAGUGUGUUUUUUAGUGGCGGCCCUUGAGGUUUUGCACAAGAGAGUUAUGGUAGCUGGGGAAGAGAGCAAAGGGUGUUCUUCUCAGCCAAGCUGUUCCCUGACCCUUACCUUGCCUACCAUCUUGUGUUCAUGGAACGAUUGGUUUGAGGAUUUAUUCAGAGUGGGAGCUUCCUGGGAGUUCUUGCGGUGCAGAAGAGAGCAGUGUAGCAAUAUAUCGACUGGGGAUGAAGGGGUGAUCCCAGUUCCCAGGGGACAUGUGCAAAAAUAAUGAAAAGCACCCUUGCAGUUAGCACUAAUUGACCUUAAAAAGGCCAAGGACUACAUGGGAGAUGAUGAUCGCAUUCCAGAAGAGAGCCUUCCAAAUCAGGACUUCCCCGUUGGCAGAGACAAGUGAAGUUGCUUGACAAAUGGGGUGAAGAGGUGUUCUACAUAGAAGGAGAGGAGAAAAUAUUUGUGGAGAUGCCUCUGAGUAGAGCUGAGAACAGAGUCCUGAGGGACUGUAACAGAAGGAGGAAUGGCACAGAAGAAGAGCCACCAGAAGAAAUGCUGACAGAAUCUUAGAAAUGUGAGAGGAGAACAGGAGAAAAAGGGGUCACAGAAGGCAAGGGAAGACAGGAUAUCAAGGAGAAGAGAAUCAUCCAUAAUAUCAAAGUCAGAAAAAACUCAAGGAGGAUGAGACUGGAGUGUUGGCCUUGAAAUAUAGGCAGGAAAAAGUCAUCUGAUAUUUUGAGAACUGGAUUGACACCAACAACUCAAUUCACAAAGACAUGCCUUCAAAUGGUGAUGAUUUUCAAUCACUAUAGACCGAUGCUGGGUUUAUAUCUCUGGCCUAGAGGUAGGAGGGACUAUAUCCCCAUGACAGUUUGGGAAAUUUGUCUGUGUGAAACUUAUGAAUUCUGGUUGACGUUAUGAAAUUGCUGUUUCAUUGAAGGUCUCAAUGUAUCAGCCAUUUGCUAUUGGGGCUGAUGUCACCUCCCAGAUUAGGAGCAAUGGAGAGUCAGUCAUCUAAUUGGGAGCACUUUAGAACAAUGCUGCACCCUAGGGGAAAAUCAAUUCUAUUUGGCUGUCUGCAGGAUGGGGGGUUGGAACAGUGGAAAAAUCCACAGUAGAAAAGAAGGAUUGAAAAAAACAAGGUGUUGGAACUGGCUUUUAAAAAACUCCACAGACUCUGGGUGUUUUCAGGGAAUUCAAAGGGACAUGCUCUCUGAGCAAGGGGAACCUUUUGGCUGUCAGACCUGAACAAGCUAGAGGGAGCUUGCUGCAGGAAUCAGAAGCGCCUCCAUGACCAGGAAGACAAGAUUGAGUUGGGAGAAGGGACCUGGAACUCCUGAAGGCACCAACCAAAACCCAAAGGAGGCUCCAGAGGGUGAGGUCUCUAGGGAAAGGAAGUGUGUUUUCUAUUUUGCCUAGAUCUAGCU
Chelonia mydas (Green sea turtle) is the source of this 1460-nucleotide long non-coding RNA. RefSeq lists it as uncharacterized. The transcript is spliced from 3 exons. The record is from RefSeq and is a predicted model, not a curated record. Lineage: Eukaryota; Metazoa; Chordata; Testudines; Cheloniidae.